UUCAGAGUAAAAACAAGUUUUGUUUAAAAAAAACAAAAAAACAAAAACAAAGGAAGAAGAAGACGAAAAGUCUAGGUUUUUGAACAACAAUGGUGAAAGCUACUCGAAGUGGGUUGAUCGGCCGGAAUGGUGGUGCUUCAACUACUCGAGAUGAUGGUGCUCUCAAUCGCCCACAGCUGAUUGAUGAAUCGCGUGACUCAGAAGCUACUCCUUCUCCUGUUUAGACUCUUGUGCCUUACGAGUUGGACUCAAGUGCUUCUUCUGUCUCGGAUCCGG
RNAcentral lists this long non-coding RNA (276 nucleotides) under Capsella rubella. RNAcentral describes it as "long non-coding RNA (CRUB_LNC003102)". Lineage: Eukaryota; Viridiplantae; Streptophyta; Magnoliopsida; Brassicales; Brassicaceae. The record is from RNAcentral.